Molecule: non-coding RNA, 2479 nt
Organism: Urocitellus parryii (Arctic ground squirrel)
Lineage: Eukaryota; Metazoa; Chordata; Mammalia; Rodentia; Sciuridae
Source: RefSeq, a predicted model, not a curated record
GCUGCGCUGCGGCGCGCACACGGGCUCCGCCGGCUGCUAUUCCGGCUGGCGGUUGCCGCUGCAGGAAGGGCCGGUUCCUGCGCUCCCCCGCCCCUUCCCUCGCCUUCUGCUGACGCUGACGUCUGAUGUGGGAUCUAGAGGGACACUCCGAUCGCGGCCGGGAGGCUCCUGGGGGCCAGGGCUCCGAGGUUUAAUAUAACGUAUCCUCUCAUGCUUUUUCCCUGCCCCUUCUCCCCGCAUCAACAACAGUAGAAAAAGAAGAAGAAGAAAACAUGUCAGGACACAAAUGCAGUUAUUCCUGGGACUUACAGGAUCGAUAUACUCAAGAUAAGUCAGUUGUCAAUAAGAUGCAACAGAAGUACUGGGAAACGAAGCAGGCCUUCAUUAAAGCCACGGGGAAGAAGGAAGAUGAACAUGUUGUCGCCUCGGAUGCAGACCUGGAUGCCAAGCUAGAGUUGUUUCACUCAAUUCAGAGAACCUGUUUGGAUUUAUCUAAAGCAAUUGUACUCUAUCAAAAGAGGAUAUGUUUCUUGUCUCAAGAAGAAAAUGAACUGGGAAAAUUUCUCCGAUCUCAAGGCUUCCAAGAUAAAACCAGAGCAGGAAAAAUGAUGCAAGCCACAGGAAAGGCCCUCUGUUUUUCUUCCCAGCAAAGAUUGGCCUUGAGAAAUCCUUUGUGUCGAUUUCACCAAGAAGUGGAGACUUUUCGGCAUCGGGCCAUCUCAGAUACAUGGCUGACGGUGAACCGCAUGGAACAGUGUCGGACAGAAUACAGGGGGGCAUUAUUAUGGAUGAAGGACGUGUCUCAGGAGCUCGAUCCAGACCUCUACAAGCAAAUGGAGAAGUUCAGGAAGGUACAGACACAAGUACGCCUUGCAAAAAAAAAUUUUGACAAAUUGAAGAUGGAUGUGUGUCAGAAAGUGGAUCUUCUUGGAGCAAGCAGAUGCAACCUCUUGUCUCACAUGCUAGCAACAUACCAGACCACUCUGCUUCAUUUUUGGGAGAAAACUUCCCAUACGAUGGCAGCCAUCCAUGAGAGCUUCAAAGGUUACCAGCCCUAUGAAUUCACUACACUGAAGAGCUUACAAGACCCUAUGAAAAAACUAGUUGAGAAAGAAGAAAAGAAGAAGAUGGCCCAGCAGGAAAGCACAGAAGCAGCAGAGCAGGAGCCGAGUCAGUAAGUCAAGUCAGCCCUCUGUCUCCUGAGGUCUUUCUUCCCACGGGUUAAUUUCAUUAGAGGAUGAAAACCAACACAAGGAAUCCUGCAGCUUUAAGAGUGAAGAAGGAAAAAGUAUUUUAUCUGCCUUAGACAAAAGCUCCACACAUAAUGCAUGUUCAGGACCUCUGGAUGAAUUAUUAGACAUGAAGCCUGAGGAAGGUGCUUGCCUGGGCCCAAUGGCAGGGACCCCAGAACCCGAAGGUGCUGACAAGGAUGACUUGCUGCUGCUGAACGAGAUCUUCAAUGCAUCCUCCCUGGAAGAAGGCGAGUUCAGCCAGGAGUGGGCGGCUGUGUUUGGAGACAAUAGGCUGAAGGACCCAGCACCAUCGGGGUCCCUGGGAGAGCCAGACUCCAAGCCUCAGACAGGCUCUGGAUUCCUUCCUUCACAGCUUUUAGACCAAAAUAUGAAAGACUUACAGGCCUCACUACAAGAGCCUGCCAAGGCUGCCUCGGACCUGACUGCCUGGUUCAGCCUCUUUGCUGACCUCGACCCCUUAUCCAAUCCUGAUGCUGUUGGGAAAACCGAUAAAGAACAUGAGUUGCUCAAUGCAUGAGUCUGCAGCCUCUGAGAAGGAGUUCUCCUGCGGCUCCGCAGCACCUCACCUGGGGCUAGCAGAAGUAUAAUGCGAUCAGUAUGCUGUUUUCAUAUUUACGUGCCAUUUUAAUAAAACAAAAGGGUCAAGGGCCCUGUUUAUAUUGGUAUAAUUAUUUACUCUGAUUUGGUAUAGAGGGUUUUAGUGUGUUCUCUGUGUGGAUCCAAAUAGUACAAGAGUGUCCAGGAGCAGUGUCCCGGCCACUGUUCUCCUGCCGAUGUCCCAUCGUGGCCACUGUGGUGUCGCUGGGCUACUGUGAGAUCAGAGUUCAUAUCAUAAGCCUACUUGGUAAGAGGUUUAAAUAUCAAGUCCCACAGUCCUUAGCGGCAGCAGGAGGCUAACAGAGCUUAAUGUGUCCUCCUAUACCCCCGCCUCUGUGUGAGGGGGUCUUCUUCCUGCCAAACCAACUUCCACUGAGCUCUGGAUGAAGCUCCAGCCAACCAAAGACACUGUCCCCACAGCGCUUGCCUGGUGGGCCACACGUUCUCCCACUGAUGGAGGAGCUGGGGGUCUCCGCUGCACAAACCUUUCUAUGGAAAGCAGCCAUAUUUCAGAUAUCAGUGUCUUCUUUUGUCCUCUUCAUGGCUGGAAUUUAAAAGCAUGUAUUUCUAGAGCCUCUUGUGACUUUUUUUUUUAAAUUAAACAGAAAAAAAACCAUUUGACAUGCAAA